GUUGAGUACGAGUAUAAAGUUUGAGAUGUAAGAGCACUGAGAAAAUAAUUCGAGAAAUAGGAAUGCCAAACAGGAAAACGUUUAAAGAAAAAAAAAAACAAUCUUAGUCCAAACAGUGCCUUGGUGGGACGCAACUCAAAUCUUAAGACUGAAAGCAAGAGGAAAGGAGGAAGGGAGUUGUUUCCAGAUAAAUAUCUGGUAAUGGCUCAUAAUGACGCGUAAUGACAGACGACAGCUUCCUACUAAACACAAGGAAAGAGGGGAACAAACAUGCUGUGACGGAAGUCUUGAUGAUUGCGUCCACAAUUUUGCAAGGCCUCGAGUAGGUGAUGUAUUUCAGAAAAGCACUUUGCCGCUGGCGCCCAUUUCUACACCCACUGUCCAGAGAGAAGUCAGGAGUGCCUUUAGUGUCUAAUCAUAGAGAGUUUCAUAUUUAAAAGAUACUUACUUAAGACUUUAUUUAAGGACCUUCACUUUUAUAAAGUUUCCUCUGACGUCUAAGCUCCUGGAUCAAGACUGAGAAAGAAGAGAGAAGAAGCUACAUGUAAAAAGCCCUCUUGGCCAUCUACCAAGCAAUAAAAACAGACCAUGGCGUCCAAAAUGGAAACCCUUGAUCCUUCAACUUUAUCAGAUGUCACCUCUACUGUGAGAUACGGGUCUAAAUCGGAAACCGUGACCUUACCAGGAGGAGUUGUGUCAGUGGCGGGCGUCACUGUGGUUACUGGAGGCGUUGAACUGUCUUGUGGAUCCUGCAUGCUAGCUUUUGGAUUUUGGGGAACUCUCAUCGGCUUCAGCUGCCUGGCUGUGGGGCUGUGGGACCAGCUGAACUUCUAUAAAGGGGGAACCUCUCAUUUGCUGGGACUGGGGCUUGUGAUACUGGCCCUCAGUUUUGUGGUGGUGGUGGGUGUGGCAACAAUUCACCUCCUAACCAAGAGAAAAAGACAGAUGACAAAAGAAGUGAGACAGCAUGGGAAAGAAGUUCUUGUAGAGAGUGGUAGGGUAAUAAAAAAAGUCACAGUAUAAACAGUGUUUAAUGACAGACAUUAAGGAAAAAAGAUCUCUGAUCUUUUAGAAAUAAAUUAUCACCAUUGCAACCCGACUCUGUACCACUACUUAUUAGGUAUCUUUAAUCUAAAUAAUGUAGAAAUGCAGUUAUUCAGUUUUGAGGCAUUUUAUUUCAACUUACAGUCAUUAAAAAUUUACACACUAAUAUUGUAGUUUUGUAUUCUAAUUGAGCCGUGUAGGCUGGCAAAGUUCUUCUUAAUGAUCAACAUAUGUUAUUGCUUAUGCUUAUGACUUGUUGCUUUGUAAAUCUAAAAAAAAAGCAGUGAAAAUGAGUUUCGUCUUGAGCAGUGGUUCAUGUCACAUUAAUAAUAAUAAGCCAAUAAUGUAACACUAUUCGACUACAUUAUGCACAUUGUGCUACUUACACUUAAUUAAAAUUAUGAAUAUAAAUGUUUAAUCCCACUAAUUAUUUUCCUUGUAAUGGGUUUUUUUUUUCACUCCUGCAGCUUGUAAUGUGUGCACAGAGCAUAAACAGAAUGCAAUAAUUGGACUGGGUAAAAUGUGAGAGAAUCAAAAAAAGGAAGAGAGAGACAGGGUUUUAUUACAACAGAAUACAGGACAUUGCUCAUUUUAACCUAGUGGGUCCCAUGCAUGCAGAUACCUUUUAGGUUUUGUAUUUGCACCCAAACUUGAUAUUAAAAACUCAGCAGGACGACAUCUUUAUAGAAACACUGGUUAGUGAGGAUAACCCAAAGCCUUUCACAAUGUUGCUGGGAUAACAGAGACCUUCCUGUCUACGUAUCUUUUAGGAUCAGAUAUGGGGAUUAUCCUGAGCUACAUUAUCCUUAGUAUUUUGCCUUUUAUGAUUUUUUUUUUAACUUUAAGCACCACAAAUGUCAUUUGAGGGUUUAGUUAAAGUUACUAGUAACCAGACAAAUUUACAAAUCACAGUGAGCAUGAUUCAUAAAAGUGCAGACCAACAGAAGUAAGGUAGACUAUAAAAAGCACUGGAGUUACUAAUACACAGAAAAAAAGUUGUUAAUUCUUUUUUGGGAGUCUCAGGAGUGUGUGUGACAAUAAAAUACUAAAUAUAAUUUUAAAUUGUAUAUUAUUUUUCUAAGAUUUGUGUUCACUGGGGUCCUUCAUUUUGUAUUUUUGGUCAGAUCAUAUUUGAUUUUAUUGAGCUUUCCUGCUUGAUUUGUAAUUUUUUGUUGUAGGUUAUGUUUAAUGUUUUGGCUACUGUAACGAGAAUAAAUAAAGUACAAAAUAAAUGUUAUAUUUCAGACCUGUGCUUCUCAUGUGAUGUGCCCAUAUGUCUUUGCUGCUCACUGACCUGAAAAGGAAAAAAAAAGUGAAAGAGAAACUAUAUCACCAGUAAGACCCACAGAAGUUAGCUAGACAGGGACAGUUAAGCUAACUUAAUAAAGUGCAAAACAAAGUUUAGAAAAUUAAUUUAAUAUCACAAAUAACAUUAAAAAAUAAACAAAAGCAAUGAAAUACUUGAUAUCCAACAAUGCAAUUCAGGUUGUUUUUAUCAAUAUUUUAUUUAGUCAAAGAAAAUGACCAUAUCGUGGGAAUUUCAUGGAACACAAAGUCACAUAGUCAUUUUGUUUUAGUCAACUCUAAAAUUUGCAAUUUGAUGAAUUAUUCAACUAAUUAUUUUAAUCCUGUAGAGCUAGCUAGGAGGCUAGCACAAUUAAAAAUGUUUGUAUAGUAACACUCUGACUAUCUUCUGACAAAAAGAGGGACAGGACUUCGGAUAUUAGGUUUCUGUGACUGUCUAACGUGAGAGUUUAAAUGUAUUGUUAAUUUUUUGCUGAAUUUACCUUGUAAAAUAUCAUUUACCUGUUAAGGUUCAUGGAGCAGGCAUUUUAAAGUGAAGGUAGCUGCAUGAUGGACAUCCUGCAGAUAGGAUUCAUGAUCAUCCAGGUAUAGUAUAAUACUUUACAAAAAUAAAAAAAGGAAGGACAAAACUCCGAAAGGCUUUGUUUUUGUUUCCGUAGCUUAUUUUCAUUGACACUGAGGAAGUGUAAUGUUCUUUUAUGCUUGUAAAAGCAAAUGUAAAAAAGUUGUGAGAAAACAAAAACAGCAAAACAAACAAACAUAACAAAGCUCUAAC
Astatotilapia calliptera (eastern happy) is the source of this 3124-nucleotide long non-coding RNA. NCBI's taxonomy places the organism in Eukaryota, Metazoa, Chordata, Actinopteri, Cichliformes, Cichlidae. The record is from Ensembl.